AAGACUGGGAGACUAUUACAGACACGGGGUAAGGUGACAUAUCAACUACACACAACGGAAAAUUCUGGAUUGGGUCCUGGAACAGAAAAAAAGAACAUUAGUGAAAACUGGUGAAAUUCAAAUAGGAACUGUUGCUUAUUUGAUAAUAUCAUACUGAUGUUAAUACCCUGUUCUUCACAAUUUUACUAUGAUCAUGUAAGAUCUUUGCUUGAGAGGGAGUGAAGUGAGGGAUCUAAGGGAACUCUUGUACUAUGCUACUUUCCUCUAAGUCUAAAAUUGUUUUUCAGUUUGCCUUUUUUUUUUUUUAACUAGGAAACAAUCUGCAUCAAUCGUAGAGGAGGUUUCAGCAGAUUUUUUGUCAGUUCCCAAAACACUUGCUGCAGACAUCUGGGGACACCAGAACUGACUCCAAGAACUCAUGGGGAGUAUCUUCUGUGCACAAAAGAAUUUUCUGCUUCCCUGCAGAGAAAUUCUCUAAUGGCCACUGAAGGACCCUAAGGGACAGACGGGUGCAGCUGUGACCAGGAUGCAUUCUGGAUUAAGAGCAAGAAGUACACUGGAGCAUAUUUCAACUCAGUGCCAGAAUCUGACGUGGAAUGGCAGAAUGAAUGCAGCCAACUACAGUAAAGGGCAAGAGGAAUCCCACGGGCCACAGCUACUCAGCAUUUAAGCUACUUUUGUGGAGGACUGCAGGUAAAUUACAGCUUUGUGAAAUGGUCAGUGCUACUCACAAAAUGCUGUCAAACUGUGAAUUACAGAAGCCUUUGAUGGAGGUAAUAAAGAUCAAAUAACAUUGCCUUUCCUUUUCCAGACUGCCUUU
This is a long non-coding RNA of Mirounga angustirostris (Northern elephant seal), 820 nucleotides long. RefSeq lists it as uncharacterized. The transcript has 4 exons. The record is from RefSeq and is a predicted model, not a curated record. NCBI's taxonomy places the organism in Eukaryota, Metazoa, Chordata, Mammalia, Carnivora, Phocidae.